Molecule: ribosomal RNA, 440 nt
Filed under: uncultured bacterium
Lineage: Bacteria
Description: partial 16S ribosomal RNA
Rfam family: Bacterial small subunit ribosomal RNA
Source: RNAcentral
CCUACGGGAGGCAGCAGUAGGGAAUAUUGCUCAAUGGGGGAAACCCUGAAGCAGCAACGCCGCGUGGAGGAUGAAGGUUUUCGGAUUGUAAACUCCUUUUGUUAGAGAAGAUAAUGACGGUAUCUAACGAAUAAGCACCGGCUAACUCCGUGCCAGCAGCCGCCGUAAUACGGAGGGUGCAAGCGUUACUCGGAAUCACUGGGCGUAAAGAGCGCGUAGGCGGGAUAGCAAGUCAGAUGUGAAAUCCUAUGGGUUAACCAUAGAAGUGCAUUUGAAACUGUUAUUCUAGAGUAUGGGAGAGGUAGGUGGAAUUCUUGGUGUAGGGGUAAAAUCCGUAGAGAUCAAGAGGAAUACUCAUUGCGAAGGCGACCUGCUAGAACAUAACUGACGCUGAUGCGCGAAAGCGUGGGGAGCAAACAGGAUUAGAUACCCUAGUAGUC